This 492-nucleotide ribosomal RNA is filed under the name uncultured bacterium. RNAcentral describes it as "bacterial SSU rRNA". It matches the Rfam family "Bacterial small subunit ribosomal RNA", at positions 28 to 507 of the family's 1533-position model. The record is from RNAcentral.
GACGAACGCUGGCGGCGUGCUUAACACAUGCAAGUCGAGCGAGAAAGUACCUUCGGGUGCGAGUAAAGCGGCGAACGGGAGAGUAACACGUGGGCAACCUGCCCUGGAGACUGGGACAACCAUUCGAAAGGAUGGCUAAUACCGGAUAUCCUGCGUGAUCGCAUGGUCGCGUAAUAAACGGUAGCUUCGGCUUCCGCUCCAGGAUGGGCCCGCGGCCCAUUAGCUUGUUGGUAGGGUAACGGCCUACCAAGGCAACGAUGGGUAGCCGGCCUGAGAGGGCGAUCGGCCUCACUGGGACUGAGACACGGCCCAGACUCCUACGGGAGGCAGCAGUGGGGAAUCUUGCGCAAUGGGCGAAAGCCUGACGCAGCAACGCCGCGUGGGGGAAGAAGGCCUUCGGGUUGUAAACCUCUGUCGGGAGGGACGAAGCCACCUGCGUUAAUAGCGUAAGGGGUGACGGUACCUCUAAAGGAAGCCCCGGCUAACUACGUG